RNAcentral lists this ribosomal RNA (403 nucleotides) under bacterium. RNAcentral's name for it is "partial 16S ribosomal RNA". It matches the Rfam family "Bacterial small subunit ribosomal RNA", at positions 355 to 776 of the family's 1533-position model. RNAcentral also lists the same sequence under 1 other name. The record is from RNAcentral.
UGGGGAAUAUUGCACAAUGGGGGAAACCCUGAUGCAGCGACGCCGCGUGAACGAAGAAGGUAUUCGUAUCGUAAAGUUCUGUCCUAUGGGAAGAUAAUGACAGUACCAUAGAAGAAAGCUCCGGCUAAAUACGUGCCAGCAGCCGCGGUAAUACGUAUGGAGCGAGCGUUGUCCGGAAUUAUUGGGCGUAAAGGGUACGCAGGCGGUUUAAUAAGUCGAAUGUUAAAGAUCGGGGCUCAACCCCGUAAAGCAUUGGAAACUGAUAAACUUGAGUAGUGGAGAGGAAAGUGGAAUUCCUAGUGUAGUGGUGAAAUACGUAGAUAUUAGGGGGAAUACCAGUAGCGAAGGCGACUUUCUGGACACAAACUGACGCUGAGGUACGAAAGCGUGGGGAGCAAACAGG